Bos taurus (domestic cattle) is the source of this 625-nucleotide long non-coding RNA. Lineage: Eukaryota; Metazoa; Chordata; Mammalia; Artiodactyla; Bovidae. The record is from Ensembl.
CUCGGCCUCGGCCUCCGGGGCCGCCCCCGAGGCGGGCGCGCGGUCCUCGUUGGGCUGCGGCCCCGGGGCGGAGCCAGUGGAGGGGCUGCGCGGCUCCCGGAAGCAGCGGUCCCGGGAACCGAUUGGGGGUGGACGUGCGGUUCAAAUGGAUGCUCGCCGGGCAUGUGUUUUUCUGGGCUCCGCGACCCCGGAGCAGAAGAGCUAGGAGUUAGAACAGCGUCUCACAGGGAACUGACCUCGUUUCGGGUGUCGGGAGGUGCCUUCCCCGAGACACUGUUUAUUUAGCCAGUCCUUAGCUGGUGCUCCCGGAGAAGGCAAAAGUACUGGAGUGGGGUGCCAUCGUCUUCUCCCCCAGUCUUCCUACCCACCUUGAAUUCUCCACUCCUCUGCAUGUUAUUCUGUCAAAAUUCUCAACUGUAUAAGGAGUCAGUGUAUGUCUAUUUUUGGUUGCCUUGGUUUUUCCUUUUAGCAGGGCACCAAAUUAGGAGUCUUAGUUUAAGAACCUCAUCUCGUAGCACUCAUCUGGAAAUGUGGGAGUGAGUUCUUAGUGGGGAUCUCUGGCCAGUAGCUCCUGCAUCCUGGCAGUAACAUCAGUGAUGGCUUUGUUUUGUGUAUAAAGUUUGCA